GCCCGCGAACUCGCCCGCGUCGAAGGUGCGCAGCAGCCCCAGGGCCCAAGGGCUCUCGCUGUCGCCCUCCAUCGCUCGCCUCUCGCCUCCAAGCUGAGCCGCCCCAGCCGCGGCCGCUGCCCAGGUGCUCAGGCUCAGCAUUGGGCUCCGAGGCCAGGGAACCAGAUAUACAUACCCAGGCCUCCAGAGCCAGCCCCCAGCUGCAAUCGGAGAGGGGACAAAGGUCACCGGACAAAGAUCACGGUCAGGGCUGGGUGGACUGGCCAGGCCCCUCCCUCCUCCAGACUUGGCCAUGAUCCUCACCGGGACCACUCAGCCCACUGUGAAGAACAUCUGGGGAAGAUCUGACCACUUGAAGUGCCCACUGGGAACAGCUGGCUAGCCUCCCUGGCCGGGAGGUGAGUGGUGGUGAUGGCAGACCCCCACCCCCGGGCUCUGGAGUGACGCAGCUACAAAACACAGAACGCCAGGACUGACAGCAGCGGCCAGAAGCCGGGAGAGGCAGGCAGGGCUCUCCCCUGGAGCCUCAAGAGGGAGCACAGCCCUGCCCACACCUGGAUCUCACACUUCCGGCCUCUAGAGUCGUGGGACAUUACAUUUUUGUUGGUUUAAGCCACCCAGUUAGUGGCACUUGGCUGCGGCAGCCCCGGGAAACUAGUAUACCCACCUGGACCAAUCACCGUCACGGUGACGAGGACCCUUAUUUUAUCCAAAAGCAGGAGACCGGCUUUCUCGGUGUCCGCUCGGCCCACGGGCCUGCUGCCUGCAGCUGACCCAUUUGCUCAUGUGGGGUCUGUGUUGGUUAACUGCACGUGUCACCUCCCGCCUGACGGCCUUCCCACUGAAACGCUGGCCUCGGGGUCUCUGGUUUGACUUGUCAGCCUCCAAAGCCACAUGAGUGAAUUCCUUACAAUAAACAAACAAAUAAGCACACGCACAUCCUAUUGUUCCGUUUCUCUGGAGAGCCCUGUCUCAUUCAGGGCCUUAACGGCUCCCUGCUUCACCUUAACCCUGUUCUAAAGCAGCCAGUCGUUUUAUUGGCAAAACUGGUAGACUUGCCUUUUUGCAGGCUGUCCUGUAGUUUAUAUUACGUUUUGUUUUCUUUUUAAAAAGCCAUUUCUAAGCCACUACAAUGAAGGCUGAUGCUGCUAUUCAAGGUCAGUGAAUGCACAGUUAGGGCAGGAGUCUUCCCCUGUCUGGACAGGUCCUCUGACAACAACAAGUAGAGAAAUGAGGUUUUCUCUCUCUGCAGCUGAACGGGCUGAAUUAAAAUGAUCUUAAAACAAGGCGUGUGAAGGUCGGUGGGGUGCGUGUGGAGGGCUCAGCUUUCACCGCUUCCUCU
Myotis myotis is the source of this 1342-nucleotide long non-coding RNA. RefSeq lists it as uncharacterized. The record is from RefSeq and is a predicted model, not a curated record. The transcript is spliced from 3 exons. NCBI's taxonomy places the organism in Eukaryota, Metazoa, Chordata, Mammalia, Chiroptera, Vespertilionidae.